AAUUCGCGUCACGAAUUCAGUUCAGUUCAACCAGUGGCACCAGUGGCACGGAACUAUCGGGACGUGUAGUUGGCGAGAAUUGUUGCAAACGUGGAAAUACCGGCCUUAGCGACGUUGUACCUGUUCCUGUAGGCCAGAAAUGACACUUGCACAAAUAUUGAGGGAGAAGAUCCCUCGCCGAGGCAUCCUCGGAGCUAUGAUGUUUCUGGCUUGUAUGUUUUCUUACUUUAUACGGACAAACCUUUCCAUUAUCAUCGUCGCCAUGGUUAAAAAUGGGACAGACACACGUGAAGAAAAUGGGACAGACACACGUGAAGAAAAUGGGACACGCACAGAUGAUUUCGGUGAGCGAUACGAGUGGAACGAAAUCGUUCAGGGAGCUGUACUAAUGGCUUACUACUGCGGCGUAGUUCCGGCUAGUAUUCCAGCCGGUAUUUUAGCAGAAAAAUUUGGAGGUUCCAAGGUUGUUGCAUUGGCGACUCUCAUUCCUGCUCUACUGAACCUGCUUAUGCCAUGGGCGUCUAGUGUUCACUACAUGUUCGCUAUCGUCCUGCGGUUCCUGAUGGGAUUCUUCGGGAGUGCUGUGUAUCCGGCUCUACACGCAAUGAUCGCCAGGUGGGUGCCACCCAACGAGAAGGGAAUGUUCGUAUGGGCUAUGCAAGGUGGACCCUUCGGUACCGUAGUCACGUUUGUUCUCUGCAGUCAAGUGAUCGACACAUAUGGGUGGGUGGCUGCGUACUACGUGACCAGCGGACUCAUUCUUGUAUUUUUCGCCCUCUGGGUAUACCUGAUACAUGACACACCCGACCAGCAUCCGAGUAUCACAGAACGAGAAAAGGAAUAUAUUAAGAAACAAAUUGGAACGAGCGUCAGCAAGCAAAAAGUAAAACUUCCUGUUGUCGCUGUCAUCACAUCGCUUCCAUUCUUGGUCCUACUCUGGGCUCACUUUGCUAACAUGUGGGGAAUCUACUUCAUAUCCACAAACGGACCCAAGUAUACGCUCCAGGUUCUUGGGUUCAAUAUGAAAUCCGGUGGCUUUAUGACUGGACUGCCUUACAUUGCCAGACUUGGGGCCGGUGUUUUGUUUGCCGCUGCCGGAGACUACUUACUGAGAACCAAGUACCUGACGGUCGUGUGGUUGCGCAAGAUUUUCAUGAUUCCCUCUCACAUGGGCCCAGCUUUGUGUUUACUCGGUAUGACCUACGCGGGAAAGGACAAAUUCUGGGGAAUUUCUAUGAUGAUACUGGCCUUGGCCUUCAACGGUGCCGCCUGCCAGACAAGUCUCCAAAAUCACCAAGAUCUGUCACCGAACUUCGCGGGAUCCCUUUACGGUGUAAUGAACACGAUUGGCAGCUUUCCAGGUUUCAUUAUUCCUGCGGUUGUCGGUGUUCUGACUAAUGAGCAUAACAGCGUUGAAACAUGGCGUCCCAUGUUUUGGAUUUCCGCAAUUGUUUUCAUGUCCGCAACCGUCUUGUUUUGGCUCUUUGGCUCGGCGAAUAUUCAGCCGUGGAACGACAUAAGCAACGGAGGAGUUGAAGGAGCUAUUUCUACCAUCCCCGACGAAGAGAUGAAAAUGACAAUGGACACCAAAAAGGCUCAGGUCAUGUCCGAUGAUGAAGAGGAAGAGAAUGCCCGUAUUUAGUCUUACAUUACGACGUAAAAAGAAUAGAAGUGGUCCCACUAAUCACCUCGACUGUCAAUGAGGAUUUUUCCAAUUGUUGAUUGUCAAGGUAGAAAUGAACUCGCCUGCAUUCGGUGAUGAUUACGCCAUUCCUCAAAAGUUCGACGGCCCGCCGGGGAUACGAGGAUGCACGGGGGAUUUAAUAAAUUCCAGGCCAUCUGCUUUUCCAUCAGGAUACUUGAGCUACGGUCCAAAUUUGUCCCUGUUACGAUCUGGUGCCGGCCACGUACGACCAGUCCCUUGCCGUAUGCUAUCUCGUUCAAAGCUUCGCCAACGCCGAAAGCAUCAUCAUUCAAUAUCCUGCGAUGUAGCUAUAGGAUCACCGCGCAUAUAGCAGGUAUUAUACUCGUACUUUAAAUAUACCCAACGUACGGAACCGUAUUGAAAAUAGCCAAAUAUAUUCUGUGCAUUUGGUAUUUACCAUCAAUUCCACUUGGCCUUCGUUGAGACUGGUGCCACCUUGAGCUCGGUCGUUCAGGACGCUGAUUCUCAAUUUAUUUAUUCUAUCCUUGAUAGUGAUUUUGGCGGUGAUAGGGUAAUAGUUACCCGCAACAGGUUCGGCGAGCUGCAACGCCCACGUGGGACGGAAAUUUUUCUCGCGUCUUAACAUUUCGCGACCGUUGCUGUCGGUAUAAAACACGUUUCCCGUGGCCAGGUUGCUAGAGUAUCUUGUUAUGAUUUCCUUGCCAAUUUUAUCACUAGGAAAGUAAGCAAAUAUCAUUAACGGUACCAUAAUUAUAUCGAAUCCAAAUGGUCGAUAAUCGGUUAUAUGUAUAUAAACGGGUUAUAAAGCAUUUAAUUUAUAUUUAUCGAGAUUUCAGCUAAUACAGCUGCAGGUUUGUGCAGAACGAUGAUAUACGCGUACCAUUUUUAGAUAACUCAAAAAAUUGACUACAAACCGUGGAAAUCUGGUGAACUCGAAUAAGUUGG
This 2611-nucleotide unclassified non-coding RNA is filed under the name Neodiprion lecontei (redheaded pine sawfly). RNAcentral's name for it is "putative inorganic phosphate cotransporter, transcript variant X8". The record is from RNAcentral. Lineage: Eukaryota; Metazoa; Arthropoda; Insecta; Hymenoptera; Diprionidae.